CUACACAUGCAAGUCGAGCGAUCCAGCCCUUAGCAUAGCUAAGAGCUAGAUAGCGGCGGACGGGUGAGUAACGCGUGGGGAACCUGCCUUGUAGAAGGGGAUAGCCUCGGGAAACCGGGAUUAAUACCCCAUAAAACUUAAAUAUCGCAUGAUAAAAAAGUCAAAACAUAAGUGCUACAAGAUGGUCCCGCGUCCCAUUAGCUAGUUGGUGAGAUAACAGCCCACCAAGGCGACGAUGGGUAGCCGAUCUGAGAGGGUGAACGGCCACAUUGGGACUGAGACACGGCCCAAACUCCUACGGGAGGCAGCAGUGGGGAAUAUUGCGCAAUGGGGGAAACCCUGACGCAGCAACGCCGCGUGAGCGAAGAAGGCCUUCGGGUCGUAAAGCUCUGUCUUAAGGGAAGAAGAAGUGACAGUACCUUAAGAGGAAGCCCCGGCUAACUACGUGCCAGCAGCCGCGGUAACACGUAGGGGACAAGCGUUGUCCGGAAUUACUGGGCGUAAAGGGUGCGUAGGCGGCCAAAUAAGUCAGAUGUGAAAGUCCAGGGCUUAACCGUGGAAUCGCAUUUGAAACUGUAUGGCUUGAGUGCAGGAGAGGAGAGCGGAAUUCCUAGUGUAGUGGUGAAAUGCGUAGAUAUUAGGAAGAACACCAGUGGCGAAGGCGGCUCUCUGGACUGUAACUGACGCUGAGGCACGAAAGCGUGGGGAGCGAACAGGAUUAGAUACCCUGGUAGUCCACGC
RNAcentral lists this ribosomal RNA (741 nucleotides) under uncultured bacterium. Its description in RNAcentral is "bacterial SSU rRNA". It matches the Rfam family "Bacterial small subunit ribosomal RNA", at positions 49 to 800 of the family's 1533-position model. The record is from RNAcentral.